Molecule: transfer RNA, 72 nt
Filed under: Camelus bactrianus (Bactrian camel)
Lineage: Eukaryota; Metazoa; Chordata; Mammalia; Artiodactyla; Camelidae
Also listed under: 1 other name
Rfam family: tRNA
About the family: Transfer RNA (tRNA) molecules are approximately 80 nucleotides in length.
Source: Rfam by way of RNAcentral
GAGGGUAUAGCUCAGUGGUAGAACACAUGCUUAGCAUGCACAGAGUCCUGGGUUCAAUCCCCAGGACCUCCU